UACGGGGGGGGCAAGCGUUGUUCGGAAUCACUGGGCUUAAAGGGCGCGUAGGCGGCGAUACAAGUCAGGGGUGAAAUCCGGCAGCUCAACUGUCGAAGUGCCUUUGAUACUGUAUCGCUCGAGGGAGGUAGGGGUCUGUGGAACUUCUGGUGGAGCGGUGAAAUGCGUUGAUAUCAGAAGGAACGCCGGUGGCGAAAGCGACGGACUGGACCUUUUCUGACGCUGAGGCGCGAAAGCUAGGGGAGCAAACGGG
RNAcentral lists this ribosomal RNA (253 nucleotides) under uncultured bacterium. RNAcentral's name for it is "partial 16S ribosomal RNA". It matches the Rfam family "Bacterial small subunit ribosomal RNA", at positions 524 to 776 of the family's 1533-position model. The record is from RNAcentral.